Prionailurus viverrinus (fishing cat) is the source of this 1451-nucleotide long non-coding RNA. RefSeq lists it as uncharacterized. The transcript is spliced from 2 exons. The record is from RefSeq and is a predicted model, not a curated record. NCBI's taxonomy places the organism in Eukaryota, Metazoa, Chordata, Mammalia, Carnivora, Felidae.
CGUGAGAUCAUGUCCUGAGCUGAAGUCGGAUGCCCAACUGACGGAGCCACCCAGGGCCAAAGAAGAAAACAGAUGAGCUUUCUCUCUUAACUACUGGCUGUACUGACAGAUGAAGUUUUUCUGGUCCACCCUUCUGCUGAGAUUACAGCUAUUUGACAAUCCAGCUCCAAACAGGGGUUUUGGCUCACCAGUCUUCAUCUUGCCCUGGGCCUCAACACCUAUCCCCACAUGAACACUGAAAUCCAAGUCCCUUGGUCAUUUGAACCAACAACUACCUCCUGUCAGUCACAUCCUGCGGUGUUAGCUCACAUGGCAGUUUUCAGUUCUGUCUUCUAUGUGGCCCACUGGGAUUUCUAGUUUCUUGUGAGCUCAACUAUGACUUUUUUAAAUGAGUUUUUAAGACCUAUGUUUCAAAAAGGCAAUGGAUCUAGGAUUUUAUUGAGGGAGGUUUGUGUUAUUUUAGCUUGCCAUCUUGCCCCUCCCCAUCAUUGUUUUUAAUAAAGUUCUGCCAACAGGUCACUGUUACGGGAACAAUAUGAGCUUUAGGCUCAGUAUGUCUAGCAGCCUACACUUACGGGAGAUUUAGUAAGGAGGAAAAUUCUCGUUACGUUGAAGGUAUACUUUUGAGCUUGUUCAGUAGGGCUUAUUGUUUUUUACGUCGUCACUAACAUACAGGCGGAAACAGGGGGUUGAAUUAUUGUGUUAGGACUAAUUACUUGAUGUGUGAAUGAUUAGUUAUUUUGUCUUCAUUCCUCUCUAUUUGUUAGCGUCUCUACUGUUGGCUGGACCAUGGAAAAUGUGUAACAAUCCUUAACAUUUAAAUUUGUUUUAAAUUUUAUCUUGACUCCAAUGUAGUUGACAUACAGCAUUAUAUUAGUUUCAGGCCAAUCAUUAAGAUCUUUGAUGGGACUAUAAUUGGAAAGAUACAGGAAUGGUGGGCUACAACAGGGUCUGAAUCUUCACCAUCUCUGCUCUUGUCCUCUUAUUCUACAUAGAUGUGAAUCUGAUCACUGAACCUGAACCCCGCUACUGGACUAUACUGUUACUAUGCGAAUGUUCAACUCUGCUCUAUAGAACUAUACAGCUCUCCAGAGAGUCCUCUUUAAGGACUCUUUAUAUCCUGUAGGAAAUAAUCUAUCUGUUUAUUUAUUCAACAGAUAUUCACUGAAUGCUGGCCAGAUGUCUGGCACUGGGUUGAGUGUGGUCAUUGGGGAGAUAGAACCACCAAGUUUCUGGCCCUCACUCUUUCAACCAGAGCAGCCCUGUUGGUUUCUGUUUUCUAGUUGGCAUUCUGGGUAAGGGGGUUCUGCUGUGUAAAGAAAGUUUGAAAUCCUCUCUCUGUGACAUAGCGCCCUUAUUUUAAAAGAAGUUUCUAUUAAGCAAAGCUAUUUGGGGACCAUGGCUUAAUAGCUGUAUGUAUAAAUAAAUUGUACACCCAGCACAAUGAUGAA